GAUGAACGCUGGCGGCGUGCCUAAUACAUGCAAGUCGAGCGAACAGACGAGGAGCUUGCUCCUCUGCCGUUAGCGGCGGACGGGCGAGUAACACGUGCAUAACCUUCUUCUUUGACUGGGAUAAUUUCGGGAAACAGGUUAUACUACUAGCUCAUAUAUUGAACCGCUUGGUUCAAUAGUGCUUGACGGUUUUGCCGUUUCUUAUAGCUGGUUCCGCGUCGGAUUAGCUAGUUGGUAAGGUAACGGCUUACCAAGGCUACGAUGCGUAGCCGACCUGAGAGGGUGAUCAGCCACACUGGAACUGAGACACGGUCCAGACUCCUACGGGAGGCAGCAGUAGGGAAUCUUCCGCAAUGGGCGAAAGCCUGACGGAGCAACGCCGCGUGAGUGAUGAAGGUCUUCGGAUCGUAAAGCUCUUUUAUUGGGAAAGAACAGAAGUGUAAUUAUCUACGCACGUCUUGACGGUACCUAAUCAGAAAGCCACGGCUAACUUCGUG
Molecule: ribosomal RNA, 497 nt
Filed under: uncultured bacterium
Lineage: Bacteria
Description: partial 16S ribosomal RNA
Rfam family: Bacterial small subunit ribosomal RNA
Source: RNAcentral